CGCUUGUUUACCAAAAACAUGGCUUCGUGUUAUCAUCAAAAUACGAAGUCGGACCUGCCCAGUGAGUUUUAAACGGCCGCGGUACUCUGACCGUGCAAAGGUAGCAUAAUCAUUUGCCUUAUAAUUGAAGGCUGGAAUGAAUGGUUUGACAAGAAUAUAUCUGUCUCCUUUAGAUUGUUUAGAAUUUUAUCUCUGGAUGAAAAAGUCCAGAUUCAAUUAAAAGACAAGAAGACCCUAUCGAGCUUUAGAGAAAUUAAUGGACUUGUUAUAGAAUUCAAUAUUGAUAAAAGAAAAGCUAUUAAAUACUUUGAUUGGGGCAAUCAAGGAGCAGCUAAAACCUCCUUUAAUGAUGUUAAAUCUCACUCGUAUUGAGCCAGGAAUUUUGGUUAAAGGAAUUAGUUACCGUAGGGAUAACAGCAUUAUCUUUUUUAAGAGCCCAUAUCGAAAAAAAGGUUUGUGACCUCGAUGUUGGACCAGAAUAUCCUAAAGAUGCAGAAGUCUUUAAGGGUUGGUCUGUUCGACCAUUAAAAUUCUACGUGAUCUGAGUUCAGACCGG
RNAcentral lists this ribosomal RNA (556 nucleotides) under Conus sanguinolentus. Its description in RNAcentral is "partial 16S ribosomal RNA". It matches the Rfam family "Bacterial large subunit ribosomal RNA", at positions 1797 to 2619 of the family's 2925-position model. Lineage: Eukaryota; Metazoa; Mollusca; Gastropoda; Neogastropoda; Conidae. The record is from RNAcentral.